CCAAACACCAGAAAAAUUUACCUGAACACAGCAGAAAAUUUAACCCAAAAACAGUAGUAUAUUUACACAGAAACAGCAAAAUAUUUAACCAAAAAACAGCAGCAAAUGAAGCCCAGAACACCAAAAAAACUUACCUGGAAACAGCAAAAAAUAUAACCCAAAAACAGCAGUAAAUUUAUCCAAAAACAGCAAACAAUUUAACUCAAACAAAAGCAGCCAAUUUACCCAAAAACAGCAGAAAAUUUAACCUAAAAACAGCUGCAAAUGAAGCCCAAAAUACCAGAAAAAUUUAACCAAAAACGGCAGCAAAUCAUCCCAAAUGCAGCAGAAAAUUUAUUCAAAAACAGCAGAAAAUUUAACUGAAAAACAGCAGUUUAUUUACCCAAAAACAGCAAAAUAUUUAACCCAAAACCAGCAGCAAAUGAAGCCCAAAACACCAAAAACAUUUACCUUAAAACAGUAGAAAAUAUAACCCAAAAACAGCAGUAAAUUUAUCCAAAAACAGCAAACAAUUUAACUCAAACAAAAGCAGCCAAUUUACCCAAAAACAGCAGAAAAUUUAACCUAAAAACAGCUGCAAAUGAAGCCCAAAAUACCAGAAAAAUUUAACCAAAAACGGCAGCAAAUCAUCCCAAAUGCAGCAGAAAAUUUAUUCAAAAACAGCAGAAAAUUUAACUGAAAAACAGCAGUUUAUUUACCCAAAAACAGCAAAAUAUUUAACCCAAAACCAGCAGCAAAUGAAGCCGUUCGGGAAUCAUACAUCCCUUAUCUGUGAGUCGAGAAAGAUUUCCAUCGCUGACGAACUUGAAGCAGAAAGCUAAAUUCAAAGAGAGGCUGCUGUACCGUACAUCCGCCUUGGCCGUACAGCAGAUUUAACCCAAAAACAGCAGCAAAUGAAGCCCAAAACACCAAAAACAUUUACCUUAAAACAGUAGAAAAUAUAACCCAAAAACAGCAGUAAAUUUAUCAAAAAACAGCAAAAAAAUAAACUAAAAAACAGCAGCCACCUUACCCAGAAACAGUAGAAAAUUAAAUCUAAAAAUAGCAGCAAAUGAAGCUUUAUCAAUAGGAAAGUUUAAAAUAUUUUUUUUCUGAAGCCAAAGCAAGAAAUCUAUAAAGUCCUUGUGAUCUUCAACUUGAGAAUUGUUACUCAUCCUAUUCUCAUGUUCUUGAAUGACUACCUCAAGAAAAUUAUCAACUCCUUGAUCACUAAAUUUUUCUACUCUAACAUCACGAAAAGAAUAAUGAAUCCUUUUGUUACUUAAAAGUUGUACAACAAAUAAGAUUUGAACUUUUCUUAAGUACUCACCAUAAGGUGUCAUAGAGACAUCUACACAACCGUUUAAAAGUUUUACAAAUGGGGUUAAUUUUGGUUGAUUGCAAAGAUUACAUUUCUAACGAUCUCACAGGCAGCAUCAGCAGAAGAGACAACAAGCACUGGCACUUUGCCUAAGUGAAGCAACAUCAGGGGGCCAUAGCAUUGUGCCAAAGCACCAAGUGAGCAAUGAGGGAACAAGCCAAGUUGGUGAAGGUUUCCAAUGAUUGGGAGGGUUGGGGGAGAAGGUGGUAGUGAUUUUUUGGUGCUAAGUGGUUGGAUAAGAAACCAUUUGAAAAGGACAAAUACGGCAAAGAUGCAGGCUGCAAUUGUGAUAAAGGAUUGGAAGUUUAACAAUUGCUGGAAAACAGACAUCUUAUUACAAAUUAUCAUAAGCGUGAACUUGUACUAAAUUAUGAUCUAUUAGUAGCAGUGAAUUAUUACAAAUUUCUUCCCCAAAAUUGAGAUAUAUAUACACUAGAAAAUGGAGAGUAUGAAGUUACAAUUCACUCAAAGACUUUGAGAAAGAUGUCUAUAUGGUCCAGCCGACAUAGUGACAGAUUGCCAAGCAAACAGCAGAAAAUAUAGCCCAAAAACAGCAGUGAAUUUAUCCAAAAACAGCAGUAUAUUUACCCAAAAACAACAAAAUAUUUAACUAAAAAACAGCAGCAAAUGAAGCCCAGAACACCCAAAAAAGUUACCUGGAAACAGCAGAAAAUAUAACCCAAAAACAGCAGUAAAUUUAUCCAAAAACAGCCAACAAUUUAACUGAAAAACAGCAGCCAAUUUACCCAGAAACAGCAGAAAAUUUAACCUAAAAACAGCAGCAAAUGAAGCCCAAAACACCAGAAAAUUUUAACCACAAACAGCAGCAAAUCAUCCCAAAUACAGCAGAAAAUUUAUCCAAAAACAGCAGAAAAUUUAACUAAAAAAUAGCAGUAUAUUUAC
RNAcentral lists this long non-coding RNA (2263 nucleotides) under Citrus sinensis (sweet orange). RNAcentral describes it as "long non-coding RNA (CSIN_LNC003092)". Lineage: Eukaryota; Viridiplantae; Streptophyta; Magnoliopsida; Sapindales; Rutaceae. The record is from RNAcentral.